AAAAAAUUCAUUACAAAGCCCUAAAAACACAGCAUUUCUCCCAUUCUCUUUUCCCCAUCGACUUCGCCUCUCCAUGAUUUCCCCUGGUGCUUCAGUUCUCACUCUCUCUCUCUCCACCUUCCACGGUCGACCACAGGCGCCUUAGCUCACUCUCGUCUCUCUCCAGCUUCCACCGUCGACCGACGGCGCCUCAGCCCUCACUCUCGUUUCUCUCCUCCUUCCACCGACGCCGUUCACUCUCGUCGCUCGCCUCCCAGGACACAAAUCAUUCACGUACGUUGUCUAUGCACAUUUAUUUAUUGUUCAUUUGAG
This 312-nucleotide long non-coding RNA is filed under the name Olea europaea subsp. europaea. The record is from RNAcentral. Lineage: Eukaryota; Viridiplantae; Streptophyta; Magnoliopsida; Lamiales; Oleaceae.